CGCUCAGCGUCCCGCAAGAAGAGUCGGCGGUCGCGGUCCUACUCCGGCUCCCGUAAACGCUCUCGACGUCACAGGUCCAGCUCUUAGCAGCGGACGUCUGCAGCAGCUGGUUCUCCGGCGGCCCAGCCCUGUCCGGCGCAAGUGCGCGUGCGUUAUUAUCAUUGGCGUGAGCAUGUUGGCGCGAGUCGUUUAAGACUCGCUUGCCAGUUUGUGUGUAAAUAGAUGCGGCCCGUCUGUCAUUUGGGCUCAGGCUCUGCCUUUCUAUGCCGACUUUUAGUCUCAAUAAAUUGCUGGCGGUCAUCCA
Pollicipes pollicipes is the source of this 304-nucleotide long non-coding RNA. RefSeq lists it as uncharacterized. Lineage: Eukaryota; Metazoa; Arthropoda; Thecostraca; Pollicipedomorpha; Pollicipedidae. The transcript has 2 exons. The record is from RefSeq and is a predicted model, not a curated record.